Leptidea sinapis is the source of this 321-nucleotide long non-coding RNA. RefSeq lists it as uncharacterized. NCBI's taxonomy places the organism in Eukaryota, Metazoa, Arthropoda, Insecta, Lepidoptera, Pieridae. The transcript has 3 exons. The record is from RefSeq and is a predicted model, not a curated record.
CUGCUCUUAAUACUUAUAAUUUUUCAUAUAAAUAACUAAUGUGUGUAGUAGAUGUAUGUAAUAAUAGUUUUGUUUUUGAUCAUCUAGCACCCUAUCUUUUACAACGAACAAAAAUGAAAUUCAUCUGGUUAAUAGUGGCGGUGUUCUUCUGGCCUCUCGCGACUGCUGCUAAGAAUUGUGCCUGUUCUGAUCAGUAUAGUCCUGUUUGUGCCACCAACGGCAGAACGUACAACAAUCGAUGCCUCUUGAAUUGCGACGGCGCAAAAUUUGGCCAUGUUGGAAAGUGCUAAGUGUCUCUGUCCAUUAAAAAUUUAACUUUAA